UAUUUUAAACAUUUUUUUCAAAUUCGGUCACUUUCUUUUUGACUCAUCCUGUAGUUGGUUCAACUGGUCACGUGGGAAUAAACUUGAUGAAUACAUCCUGAAAAUGGCUUUGGGGAUAAUGACAGUAUAUGGAUGUGAUUGGACGGAGGAGCAGUCAUAGAUGUACAUGGAAAGUGUUUGAGGACCUACGUGGAUCUGUUUGGGCCUACAAUGACGCCCAUUCACUGAACGGAUUCGGGAUUACCCAUCGCGAACUCAAAAAGAUAGGAGAGACCAAGGUUCCCAUCCGGAUGAUCCUUGAUAAGACAGCAGACGGUACAGGCAUCGACUCCAACACCCUAGCCUUACAGAUGAAGGCCCAUCCUGAGCUGAGGGACAAGCUUCAUGUCGUCACCUCUUGGGGCCUUUGCCUGUCUACCCUGGGGUGGUCAACUCAGAAUGACCUGCCAGUAUUAUACGCAACAAGUGUGAGUUUACCAUGGGCAAGAGUGUAGAUGGCAUCGAUAA
This is a long non-coding RNA of Patiria miniata (bat star), 507 nucleotides long. RefSeq lists it as uncharacterized. The transcript is spliced from 4 exons. Lineage: Eukaryota; Metazoa; Echinodermata; Asteroidea; Valvatida; Asterinidae. The record is from RefSeq and is a predicted model, not a curated record.